UGUCAAGCAGCUACAUAGCACUGCUCACUUGCUUAACUGGGCAAAAUACCUGCUGUGGCAGCCCUCUGCCUUGACUGCCUCCGGGAGAAAGUUUCUUGGGAAUGUCCCUGGCAAGCCAAAUCAUUCUACAAUCUCUGAAACUGAAGACACAAAAUCACCAAUGGAACAGUGCUGUUUGGGUCAGAGGUGCAAAGAUUUCAGCUCUCCAUUUCAAGAGCCAUCCUCCAGCUCACAGCUGGUACAAAUGGGUGUGACUCAUUGCACAGCCAGAGGUUAUAAUGAAGUAUCCCACUCAUCCUUUAGCUCACCCUUUGUUCAAGACAAUGCAGAUUGCAGGAGGUUUCUGAGGAGGAGAAUCUGGGAUAAGUUGCUGGGAAGAAGGAAGAAGGAGAACAGUUCUAUUGGAAAGAAUGUCUUGAUGCUGAUAUGAAAAUGAUGUGGAAGUCAUGGGCUGAAUUAAAUAUUUUUCCAUGGUGGAAAAUUGAUGGGAAAGCUUCC
Long non-coding RNA from Serinus canaria (Common canary), 498 nucleotides. The record is from Ensembl. NCBI's taxonomy places the organism in Eukaryota, Metazoa, Chordata, Aves, Passeriformes, Fringillidae.